UUGGUUGAUAGGACGAAUGACGAUCUGAGUGUCGUGUUGAUUUCAUUUUGUGGUGGAUGGUUUGAAGUAAUGGUUGAUUGAUAUUGUUUUUAGGAUGGAUAUGAUUGCAAUAUCUGCGGUGUUAGUGCUGGCGUUUGUUGUCCUCAUAAACUUCUCAGUACAUAAACUAGAAGAAGGCCAUGUUGGCGUCUACUACAGAGGAGGAGCACUUUUGUCCCACACUAGCCCUCCGGGUUCCACAUGAUGGUGCCUUUCAUUACUACUUACAGAUCUGUUCAGGUAACACUACAAACAGAUGAGGUGAAAAAUGUUCCUUGUGGUACCAGUGGAGGAGUUAUGAUAUACUUUGAUAGAAUUGAGGUCGUUAAUAUUCUUAACAGAGACAGUG
Long non-coding RNA from Homalodisca vitripennis (glassy-winged sharpshooter), 388 nucleotides. RefSeq lists it as uncharacterized. The record is from RefSeq and is a predicted model, not a curated record. The transcript is spliced from 4 exons. NCBI's taxonomy places the organism in Eukaryota, Metazoa, Arthropoda, Insecta, Hemiptera, Cicadellidae.